AUGAACGCUAGCUACAGGCUUAACGCAUGCAAGUCGAGGGGCAUCAGGAAGAAAGCUUGCUUUCUUUGCUGGCGACCGGCGCACGGGUGAGUAACACGUAUCCAACCUGCCCUUUACUCGGGGAUAGCCUUUCGAAAGAAAGAUUAAUACCCGAUGGCAUAAUGAUUCCGCAUGGUUUCAUUAUUAAAGGAUUCCGGUAAAGGAUGGGGAUGCGUUCCAUUAGGUUGUUGGUGAGGUAACGGCUCACCAAGCCUUCGAUGGAUAGGGGUUCUGAGAGGAAGGUCCCCCACAUUGGAACUGAGACACGGUCCAAACUCCUACGGGAGGCAGCAGUGAGGAAUAUUGGUCAAUGGGCGCUAGCCUGAACCAGCCAAGUAGCGUGAAGGAUGAAGGCUCUAUGGGUCGUAAACUUCUUUUAUAUAAGAAUAAAGUGCAGUAUGUAUACUGUUUUGUAUGUAUUAUAUGAAUAAGGAUCGGCUAACUCCGUGCCAGCAGCCGCGGUAAUACGGAGGAUCCGAGCGUUAUCCGGAUUUAUUGGGUUUAAAGGGAGCGUAGGUGGACUGGUAAGUCAGUUGUGAAAGUUUGCGGCUCAACCGUAAAAUUGCAGUUGAUACUGUCAGUCUUGAGUACAGUAGAGGUGGGCGGAAUUCGUGGUGUAGCGGUGAAAUGCUUAGAUAUCACGAAGAACUCCGAUUGCGAAGGCAGCUCACUGGACUGCAACUGACACUGAUGCUCGAAAGUGUGGGUAUCAAACAGGAUUAGAUACCCUGGUAGUCCACACAGUAAACGAUGAAUACUCGCUGUUUGCGAUAUACAGUAAGCGGCCAAGCGAAAGCAUUAAGUAUUCCACCUGGGGAGUACGCCGGCAACGGUGAAACUCAAAGGAAUUGACGGGGGCCCGCACAAGCGGAGGAACAUGUGGUUUAAUUCGAUGAUACGCGAGGAACCUUACCCGGGCUUAAAUUGCAGUGGAAUGAUGUGGAAACAUGUCAGUGAGCAAUCACCGCUGUGAAGGUGCUGCAUGGUUGUCGUCAGCUCGUGCCGUGAGGUGUCGGCUUAAGUGCCAUAACGAGCGCAACCCUUAUCUUUAGUUACUAACAGGUUAUGCUGAGGACUCUAGAGAGACUGCCGUCGUAAGAUGUGAGGAAGGUGGGGAUGACGUCAAAUCAGCACGGCCCUUACGUCCGGGGCUACACACGUGUUACAAUGGGGGGUACAGAAGGCAGCUAGCGGGUGACCGUAUGCUAAUCCCAAAAGCCUCUCUCAGUUCGGAUCGAAGUCUGCAACCCGACUUCGUGAAGCUGGAUUCGCUAGUAAUCGCGCAUCAGCCACGGCGCGGUGAAUACGUUCCCGGGCCUUGUACACACCGCCCGUCAAGCCAUGGGAGCCGGGGGUACCUGAAGUACGUAACCGCAAGGAUCGUCCUAGGGUA
Molecule: ribosomal RNA, 1432 nt
Filed under: uncultured organism
Description: 16S ribosomal RNA
Rfam family: Bacterial small subunit ribosomal RNA
Source: RNAcentral